GCAAGCACCGGCUAACUCCGUGCCAGCAGCCGCGGUAAUACGGAGGGUGCAAACGUUGCUCGGAAUCAUUGGGCGUAAAGCGCGCGUAGGCGGCUGAACAAGUUGGAUGUGAAAGCCCCUGGGCUCAACCUAGGAUGUGCAUUCAAAACUGUUCGGCUUGAGUCUCGGAGGGGGUCAGAGAAUUCUCGGUGUAGAGGUGAAAUUCGUAGAUAUCGGGAGGAACACCAGUGGCGAAGGCGCUGACCUGGACGAUGACUGACGCUGAGGCGCGAAAGCGUGGGGAGCAAACAGGAUUAGAUACCCUGGUAGUCCACGCCGUAAACGAUGAGUGCUAGACGCUGGCGGAUUGACCCCGUCGGUGUCGAAGCUAACGCGUUAAGCACUCCGCCUGGGGAGUACGGUCGCAAGACUAAAACUCAAAGGAAUUGACGGGGGC
RNAcentral lists this ribosomal RNA (436 nucleotides) under uncultured bacterium. Its description in RNAcentral is "bacterial SSU rRNA". It matches the Rfam family "Bacterial small subunit ribosomal RNA", at positions 486 to 920 of the family's 1533-position model. The record is from RNAcentral.